RNAcentral lists this transfer RNA (79 nucleotides) under Endozoicomonas sp. RNAcentral describes it as "tRNA-Pro". The record is from RNAcentral. Lineage: Bacteria; Pseudomonadati; Pseudomonadota; Gammaproteobacteria; Oceanospirillales; Endozoicomonadaceae.
CGGUGUAUAGCGCAGUCUGGUAGCGCAUUUUGUUCGGGACGAAAGGGUCGGGGGGGGGGGGGGCCCGCCACACCGACCA